This 543-nucleotide ribosomal RNA is filed under the name uncultured bacterium. Its description in RNAcentral is "bacterial SSU rRNA". It matches the Rfam family "Bacterial small subunit ribosomal RNA", at positions 8 to 526 of the family's 1533-position model. The record is from RNAcentral.
AGAGUUUGAUCAUGGCUCAGAACGAACGCUGGCGGCGUGCCUAAGACAUGCAAGUCGUACGGAAAGGCCCCCUUCGGGGGGCACUCGAGUGGCGCACGGGUGAGUAACGCGUGGGUAAUCUGCCUUAGGGUCUAGGACAACCCCGGGAAACUGGGGCUAAUACUGGAUAAGACCACGAGCUCUUCGGAGCUUGCGGGAAAAGAUGGCCUCUCCUUGGAAGCUAUCGCCCUUCGAUGAGCCCGCGUCCCAUUAGCUAGUUGGUGAGGUGACGGCUCACCAAGGCUUUGAUGGGUAGCUGGUCUGAGAGGAUGAUCAGCCACACUGGAACUGAGACACGGUCCAGACUCCUACGGGAGGCAGCAGUCGGGAAUUUUGGGCAAUGGGCGAAAGCCUGACCCAGCAACGCCGCGUGAGGGAUGAAGGCCCUCGGGUCGUAAACCUCUGUCGGGAGGGAAGAACGGUUGCCGUUCGAAUAGGGCGGUAACCUGACGGUACCUCCAAAGGAAGCACCGGCUAACUCCGUGCCAGCAGCCGCGGUAAUUC